GCCUUCUUGGCUCAGUUGGUUAGAGCGUCAGUCUCAUAAUCUGAAGGUCGGCGGUUCGAACCCGCCAGAGGGCA
This 74-nucleotide transfer RNA is filed under the name Rhizomucor pusillus. RNAcentral's name for it is "tRNA-Met". It matches the Rfam family "tRNA". Rfam says of the family: Transfer RNA (tRNA) molecules are approximately 80 nucleotides in length. Their secondary structure includes four short double-helical elements and three loops (D, anti-codon, and T loops). Further hydrogen bonds mediate the characteristic L-shaped molecular structure. tRNAs have two regions of fundamental functional importance: the anti-codon, which is responsible for specific mRNA codon recognition, and the 3' end, to which the tRNAs corresponding amino acid is attached (by aminoacyl-tRNA synthetases). tRNAs cope with the degeneracy of the genetic code in two manners: having more than one tRNA (with a specific anti-codon) for a particular amino acid; and 'wobble' base-pairing, i.e. permitting non-standard base-pairing at the 3rd anti-codon position. RNAcentral also lists the same sequence under 1 other name. Lineage: Eukaryota; Fungi; Mucoromycota; Mucoromycetes; Mucorales; Lichtheimiaceae. The record is from RNAcentral.